GACUCUCGACAACGGAUAUCUCGGCUCUCGCAUCGAUGAAGAACGUAGUGAAAUGCGAUACUUGGUGUGAAUUGCAGAAUCCCGUGAACCAUCGAGUUUUUGAACGCAAGUUGCGCCCGAAGCCUUUUGGCCGAGGGCACGUCUGCCUGGGCGUCACG
Molecule: ribosomal RNA, 158 nt
Filed under: Begonia nepalensis
Lineage: Eukaryota; Viridiplantae; Streptophyta; Magnoliopsida; Cucurbitales; Begoniaceae
Description: 5.8S ribosomal RNA
Rfam family: 5.8S ribosomal RNA
About the family: 5.8S ribosomal RNA (5.8S rRNA) is a component of the large subunit of the eukaryotic ribosome.
Source: RNAcentral